RNAcentral lists this long non-coding RNA (588 nucleotides) under Phasianus colchicus (ring-necked pheasant). Its description in RNAcentral is "lncRNA (ENSPCLG00000001926.1)". Lineage: Eukaryota; Metazoa; Chordata; Aves; Galliformes; Phasianidae. The record is from RNAcentral.
CGGGCCCGCGCCCCGGGCCGAGGCCUAGGCCGGCUCCGAUCCCGGGGCGGCCCUCGGGGGAGCGCGGGGAUGGGCGGAGGGACGGGCCUCGGCGCGGGCUGCAGCGGGGCGCCGCCGUGGGGCGGGACGGCCCCUGGCCUCCGGAGCCCGGCGGCUGCCUUCCUCGAAGCGCGCCGGAGGAGCGGCACGCGGUCUACCCUCGGCCCCAAAACCGGGGAGCUGACACGGAGGCACCGGCCUCGCAGAAGGGCGACGGGGAGACGCGCGACAGCGCAGGCACGAAAGCCACUGCGGGAGAGACGGCCGAGGGUCCCUGCUAACGGCCCGGCGUACCGGACGAGGGACCGAAGGUGCCAGAAGCUGGGGACAAGAUCUAUUGUUCUGGUUAGUUGGGAUUUUUUUUUUCCCCAUCUUUCUCUGGAGUUUGUGCCAGCUUGGAAUAGCCUUCAGCCUUGCAGAGUUGUGUGUAUGUGCAGAGGUAGAAUAAUGGACACAAAAAGGCAUUCUGGGCAACUUACCCUUGGGAGCCUGCCGAACUCCAAAACCAUCCUAUGGGUUGCAGUGCUGCUCAGAACUGACAUAGUUUAG